UACGUAGGUGGCAAGCGUUGUCCGGAAUACUGGGCGUAAAGCGCACGCAGGCGGUCUGUCAAGUCGGAUGUGAAAUCCCCGGGCUCAACCUGGGAACUGCAUUCGAAACUGGCAGGCUAGAGUCUUGUAGAGGGGGGUAGAAUUCCAGGUGUAGCGGUGAAAUGCGUAGAGAUCUGGAGGAAUACCGGUGGCGAAGGCGGGUCUCUGGGCAGUAACUGACGCUGAGGAGCGAAAGCGUGGGGAGCGAACAGG
This 252-nucleotide ribosomal RNA is filed under the name uncultured bacterium. Its description in RNAcentral is "partial 16S ribosomal RNA". It matches the Rfam family "Bacterial small subunit ribosomal RNA", at positions 524 to 776 of the family's 1533-position model. The record is from RNAcentral.